UGCCCCGGUACUGCCAGCCCCUCCUGAAAGGAACAGUGAGGGAAAAGAAACCUGCCAAACCCCACCCCUCCCGCCCGCGCCCGGCGAGCGGGAGUCGUGGUCACUCCGGUGAGUGAUGUUCGCCAACCGGACUUGAUCUGGGGAGGGUUGUAUGCCUUACGCUCUGCCUCACACAGCUUCAGAAAUUCAACGGCCCCCGCCGGGACUGGCAUCCCAAUGCGAGGGCCUCACCACCAAGGAAGAAGCCUGCUUCCCG
Molecule: non-coding RNA, 256 nt
Filed under: Streptomyces acidiscabies
Lineage: Bacteria; Bacillati; Actinomycetota; Actinomycetes; Kitasatosporales; Streptomycetaceae
Description: Streptomyces sRNA 4677
Rfam family: Streptomyces sRNA 4677
About the family: Located in the intergenic region between anti-sigma factor SCO4677 gene and a putative regulatory protein gene SCO4676. scr4677 expression requires the SCO4677 activity and scr4677 sRNA itself seem to affect the levels of the SCO4676-associated transcripts.
Source: Rfam by way of RNAcentral